Molecule: ribosomal RNA, 496 nt
Filed under: uncultured bacterium
Lineage: Bacteria
Description: partial 16S ribosomal RNA
Rfam family: Bacterial small subunit ribosomal RNA
Source: RNAcentral
GAUGAACGCUGGCGGCGUGCCUAAUACAUGCAAGUCGAGCGAACGGACGAGAAGCUUGCUUCUCUGAUGUUAGCGGCGGACGGGUGAGUAACACGUGGAUAACCUACCUAUAAGACUGGGAUAACUUCGGGAAACCGUAGCUAAUACCGGAUAAUAUUUUGAACCACAUGGUUCAAAAGUGAAAGACGGUCUUGCUGUCACUUAUAGAUGGAUCCGCGCUGCAUUAGCUAGUUGGUAAGGUAACGGCUUACCAAGGCAACGAUGCAUAGCCGACCUGAGAGGGUGAUCGGCCACACUGGAACUGAGACACGGUCCAGACUCCUACGGGAGGCAGCAGUAGGGAAUCUUCCGCAAUGGGCGAAAGCCUGACGGAGCAACGCCGCGUGAGUGAUGAAGGUCUUCGGAUCGUAAAACUCUGUUAUUAGGGAAGAACAUAUGUGUAAGUAACUGUGCACAUCUUGACGGUACCUAAUCAGAAAGCCACGGCUAACUACGU